UACGAAGGGGGCUAGCGUUGCUCGGAAUUACUGGGCGUAAAGGGCGCGUAGGCGGCGACCCAAGUCAGAUGUGAAAGUCCUGGGCUUAACCUGGGGACUGCAUUUGAUACUGGGUUGCUUGAAUUCGGGAGAGGAUAGCGGAAUUCCCAGUGUAGAGGUGAAAUUCGUAGAUAUUGGGAAGAACACCGGUGGCGAAGGCGGCUAUCUGGACCGACAUUGACGCUGAGGCGCGAAAGCGUGGGGAGCAAACAGG
Molecule: ribosomal RNA, 253 nt
Filed under: uncultured bacterium
Lineage: Bacteria
Description: partial 16S ribosomal RNA
Rfam family: Bacterial small subunit ribosomal RNA
Source: RNAcentral